This 530-nucleotide ribosomal RNA is filed under the name Clostridioides difficile. RNAcentral describes it as "partial 23S ribosomal RNA". It matches the Rfam family "Bacterial large subunit ribosomal RNA", at positions 1559 to 2101 of the family's 2925-position model. The record is from RNAcentral. Lineage: Bacteria; Bacillati; Bacillota; Clostridia; Peptostreptococcales; Peptostreptococcaceae.
GGAUGUGAUGGGGAGCGAAAUUUAGUAGCGAAGUAGCUGAUUUCACACUGUCAAGAAAAGUCUCUAUCGAGGUUAAAGGUACCCGUACCGCAAACCGACACAGGUGGGUGAGGAGAGUAUCCUAAGGCCAGCGAGAGAACUGUUGUUAAGGAACUCGGCAAAAUGACCCCGUAACUUAGGGAUAAGGGGUGCCACCAUCAGGUGGCCGCAGAGAAUAGGCCCAAGCGACUGUUUACCAAAAACAUAGGUUUCUGCUAAGUCGCAAGACGAUGUAUAGGAGCUGACGCCUGCCCGGUGCUGGAAGGUUAAGGGGAUCUGUUAGAGCAAUCGAAGCAGUGAACUUAAGCCCCAGUAAACGGCGGCCGUAACUAUAACGGUCCUAAGGUAGCGAAAUUCCUUGUCGGGUAAGUUCCGACCCGCACGAAAGGCGUAACGAUUUGGGCACUGUCUCAACAACAGACUCGGUGAAAUUGUAAUUCCGGUGAAGAUGCCGGAUACCUGCGACAGGACGGAAAGACCCCAUGGAGCUU